CGUAGGCAGCAAGCGUUGUUCGGAGUUACUGGGCGUAAAGGGUGUGUAGGCGGUUCUUUAAGUUUGGUGUGAAAUCUCCCGGCUCAACUGGGAGGGUGCGCCGAAUACUGAGGGACUAGAGUACGGGAGAGGAAAGUGGAAUUCCUGGUGUAGCGGUGAAAUGCGUAGAUAUCAGGAGGAACACCGGUGGUGUAGACGGCUUUCUGGACCGACACUGACGCUGAGACACGAAAGCGUGGGUAGCAAACAGGAUUAGAUACCCUGGUAGUCCACGCCCUAAACGAUGCAUAUUUGGUGUGGGCAGUUCAUUCUGUCCGUGCCGGAGCUAACGCGUUAAAUAUGCCGCCUGGGGAUACAGUCGCAAGGCUG
This 369-nucleotide ribosomal RNA is filed under the name uncultured organism. RNAcentral describes it as "bacterial SSU rRNA". It matches the Rfam family "Bacterial small subunit ribosomal RNA", at positions 526 to 896 of the family's 1533-position model. The record is from RNAcentral.